AUAAUAUUUAUUAACUCGAUUUAUCAUGGCAUUAUAUAUCAAAUACGUGUCAUACCAUAAUUUAGAAAUAAAAUACAUUUAAAGAUUUAUGGGACGAGUGGCUCAGCAGAACCCUAACCCAAAACGCUAAUAGCCUUUCAGCUCUCUUAUUCUAAUAGGUCUGGCGCCUAGAGAGCGAAGCUCAACUAGGAUCCUUACAUCCAGCCUGGACACUUGUUCCCCAAUUAAGCAGGUGCCGAGAGAGCAUUGCUCGACCAGAGACCUUUCUCCGGCAGCAAACUUUUAUAACCUAGAGAGUUAUAAUCGACCAGGGCAAAAUCCACAAAUAACCUUUGUUACAUGUUUCUGAUUAUUACUGAUGCGCACGCAGUCUUGAUGCAACCCGUCAUGUGGCAUGUUCUACAGUCACCUCAUCUCACAGUCAUAAUCAUAACAUAUAUAUAAAAAGAAAUCAUAAAUAUACUAUUCAUAGGUAACACAAUUUAUUUGAUUACAUAUUGAGAAAUAGAGUUUAGUAAUAUCGGGUAAAGCAAACAUGCAAAAUAUCUAUAGAGAUAAUAAUAAUAGUAUUUAAAUAACAUUAUUAAAAUAUCGUAAAUAAUGAUAAUGAUACUCAUACAUAACAUUAAACAUUAAAUAUUGAAUGAAAUCUAGACAUGCCAAAGUACAAUUAUUAUAUGACUUUAACUCACAGUUCUGUCGCGCUCUGCAGUCUGCUCUAACGCCUCGGGUGGAGCUGGCGGGAUGGACGAAUUAUUAUUCACUAAAAAACUCGGUUAAUAGACAUUCUUAAAUUUUCGUAGGCCUAGACCUCUAGAUUAGGCUGCCUAAAAUUAUUUUAGACUCGAGAAUUCUGUCGAAAAUUCGGCAGAGCCUCCCCUAAAUUAUGGACAUUUACUCCCCUUACAACGGGUCCAGAACUUGCUAGAAACACUUCAAAUAUUCUGCGAUUAAUUUAACGGGAGUCAGGCCACCAAAACUGCAUUAUGUUUCUUGACUCCGCAACAUAACACAAUCACAAUUAAUUAAAUCCAACUAAUUUUUAAAUUAUCCAUCAUUGAUAAUUAAUAGCCAUAAUAUUUUUCUAGAAUUACAACAUAAUUUAUAGGGUCUAAAUAAAAUUAUACCGAGUCGAAAUUGUAAUAUUUCGCGUGUCCGGAAAGUACCAUGGUCCAGAAGCCGGUCCUACCAACAGUGUCAAAAUUUGAAUCCAGAAGCGCCUAUGUGAAGCUUGAGUUGUAGGAGUCCGAAAACAUGACAGUUUCGGCCGGAAACUCACCGGAAGGCACCAGAUUGGGGCCGGAAAGGUUCUACUCCAGUGAAGCCCCUCUAAAGCUGCCGGUGGAGGAAAUCAAUGAGGAGACUUGCUUUGGGGUGAUGAGGAGUCCGAAUCCAGCAUCGGAUUGCCGAAAGGAUGUCGGCAGGAGCCCGAAUCGACGACGGCAGCCUCUUUCGUCCUUCGUCGGCGUCGCGCGGAAGGGAGGGAGAAGGUUUGAAGGCUGUGCAGCAGCGGGAGGAAGGAAAAGAAAGAUGCGCGGCGGUGGCAACAGCUCGACGACACGUAGGUGGGCGGGGGAGAGGGCAAUUGGCAAGGAGAAGGGAAAAGGGGGAGGGGAAGGAGGAAGGGGAAGAAAGGAAAAGAAGGAGAGGGGGGAAAAGGGAAGGAAAGAA
Molecule: long non-coding RNA, 1671 nt
Filed under: Ricinus communis (castor bean)
Lineage: Eukaryota; Viridiplantae; Streptophyta; Magnoliopsida; Malpighiales; Euphorbiaceae
Description: long non-coding RNA (RCOM_LNC000958)
Source: RNAcentral